AGUGAACGCUGGCGGUAGGCCUAACACAUGCAAGUCGAACGGCAGCACAGGAGAGCUUGCUCUCUGGGUGGCGAGUGGCGGACGGGUGAGGAAUACAUCGGAAUCUACUCUGUCGUGAGGGAUAACGUAGGGAAACUUACGCUAAUACCGCAUACGACCUACGGGUGAAAGCAGGGGACCUUCGGGCCUUGCGCGAUUGAAUGAGCCGAUGUCGGAUUAGCUAGUUGGCGGGGAAAAGGCCCACCAAGGCGACGAUCCGUAGCUGGUCUGAGGGGAUGAUCAGCCACACUGGAACUGAGACACGGUCCAGACUCCUACGGGAGGCAGCAGGGGGGAAUAUUGGACAAUGGGCGCAAGCCUGAUCCAGCCAUACCGCGUGGGUGAAGAAGGCCUUCGGGUUGUAAAGCCCUUUUGUUGGGAAAGAAAUCCAGCUGGCUAAUACCCGGUUGGGAUGACGGUACCCAAAGAAUAAGCACCGGCUAACUUCGUGCCAGCCGCCGCGGUAA
RNAcentral lists this ribosomal RNA (506 nucleotides) under uncultured bacterium. RNAcentral's name for it is "partial 16S ribosomal RNA". It matches the Rfam family "Bacterial small subunit ribosomal RNA", at positions 29 to 523 of the family's 1533-position model. The record is from RNAcentral.